RNAcentral lists this unclassified non-coding RNA (242 nucleotides) under plant metagenome. RNAcentral's name for it is "partial contains small subunit ribosomal RNA and internal transcribed spacer 1". The stretch from base 1 to 47 matches the Rfam family "Eukaryotic small subunit ribosomal RNA", at positions 1785 to 1831 of the family's 1831-position model. The record is from RNAcentral.
AAGGUCGUAACAAGGUUUCCGUAGGUGAACCUGCGGAAGGAUCAUUAAAGAGUAAGGGUCUAACCGGCCUGAACCUCCAACCCUUUGUCGUUCAAAAAUCACCUUGUUGCUUUGGCGGGACGGUCGACUCACGUCGGCCGCCGGUCCCAGGAUCGGAGAGCUCCCGCCGGAGUCAAAAGCCAAAGCUCUUGUUAUUUAACCCAGUCGUCUGAGUACAAAAGUUUUUCAAUUAAACUAAAAAC